Molecule: ribosomal RNA, 497 nt
Filed under: uncultured bacterium
Lineage: Bacteria
Description: partial 16S ribosomal RNA
Rfam family: Bacterial small subunit ribosomal RNA
Source: RNAcentral
GAUGAACGCUGGCGGCGUGCCUAAUACAUGCAAGUCGAGCGAACGGACGAGAAGCUUGCUUCUCUGAUGUUAGCGGCGGACGGGUGAGUAACACGUGGAUAACCUACCUAUAAGACUGGGAUAACUUCGGGAAACCGGAGCUAAUACCGGAUGAUAUUUUGAACCGCAUGGUUCAAAAGUGAAAGACGGUCUUGCUGUCACUUAUAGAUUGAUCCGCGCUGCAUUAGCUAGUUGGUAAGGUAACGGCUUACCAAGGCAACGAUGCAUAGCCGACCUGAGAGGGUGAUCGGCAACACUGGAACUGAGACACGGUCCAGACUCCUACGGGAGGCCGCAGUAGGGAAUCUUACGCAAGGGGCGAAAGCAUGACGGAGCAACGCCGAGUGAGUGAUGAAGGUCUUCGGAUCGUAAAACUCUGUUAUUAGGGAAGAACAUAUGUGUAAGUAACUGUACACAUCUUGACGGUACCUAAUCAGAAAGCCACGGCUAACUACGUG